CGGCCGGAGAGUUUUGGUUAGGGUUUGGGACUUUUGCUGGAGAAUUGAAUUCAAUUCAUAGGUUUGUUUGCCUUUUUCGGUUUAAUUUUCCUGCUGGAGUNUCAUUUGCUUUGAUGAUGAUAAUGGCGGAUGGAGGUUCGAGGCUUUGGCCGUCUGGUGAAAUUCUGGGCCUUGACGGGUUUGAUGGCGGCAACGGCGGCGGGGG
Molecule: unclassified non-coding RNA, 205 nt
Filed under: Hevea brasiliensis (rubber tree)
Lineage: Eukaryota; Viridiplantae; Streptophyta; Magnoliopsida; Malpighiales; Euphorbiaceae
Source: RNAcentral